AACGAACGCUGGCGGCAUGCCUAACACAUGCAAGUCGAACGAGACCUUCGGGUCUAGUGGCGCACGGGUGCGUAACGCGUGGGAACCUGCCCUUAGGUUCGGAAUAACUCCCCGAAAGGGGUGCUAAUACCGGAUAAUGUCUUCGGACCAAAGAUUUAUCGCCUUUGGAUGGGCCCGCGUUGGAUUGGCUAGUUGGUAGGGUAAAAGCCUACCAAGGCGACGAUCCAUAGCUGGUCUGAGAGGAUGAUCAGCCACACUGGGACUGAGACACGGCCCAGACUCCUACGGGAGGCAGCAGUGGGGAAUAUUGGACAAUGGGCGAAAGCCUGAUCCAGCAAUGCCGCGGGAGUGAUGAAGGCCUUAGGGUUGUAAAGCUCUUUUACCCGGGAUGAUAAUGACAGUACCGGGAGAAUAAGCUCCGGCUAACUCCGU
RNAcentral lists this ribosomal RNA (432 nucleotides) under uncultured bacterium. RNAcentral's name for it is "partial 16S ribosomal RNA". It matches the Rfam family "Bacterial small subunit ribosomal RNA", at positions 29 to 506 of the family's 1533-position model. The record is from RNAcentral.